CUAAUUAUUUUUCUGCCUCUCUGGGCACCGGUGUGUGCGGUCACUGUGAGAGUAGAAGGAGGGAUAGAGAGAGAGUGUGUCUGUUUCAUGUUCGUCGCGGAGGCGGGAGGGGUGACGGAGGGCAGCGACCGCGUCCCUGGGAGGGGGAGGGAACGACGCGCGACGAAACCGUCCCUGGCGGGAAGGGGACGGAGGGUCAGGGGUGGCGACGACUCUGCGGCGGGAAGGGAACGUAGAGGUGGAGGUAGCUAUCUACCUCCGCGUCUGAAGCCGAGGUGGUCUAGGAACCAACGCCUGAGCUGCGCUCGCUACCUCCCGAGACGUCGCGGAUUGAGGAGGAGGACGCCCUUUUCUGCGCCUUAGCCUCGUUCGCGGCUCCUCGCGGCCGCUCCUGCGCGACGAGGCCACCUAACCCGCAUAGCGCUCGGAGUGGCACACCGGUUCAUGCUGCACGAGGUCUCACCUCACCAGCUGCGGGAGGGGUGGAGCGGGCACUGACCAUAAAGCAGUAGGCGGGAAACAAGCCAAGUCGAGACAGGCUGCGACGCACGCGGAACUGCGGUGGCGGGAUCGGUGUCGGGGUGUGGAGCGCGGUGCCGGCGGUGUUAGGGUACCGAACCGUAUUCACACUAGAUUAUUAAGUCUUUACAAAAAGACAUUAGUUAACGAGUACGUUAAGAUAUCCGACACCUUUGACGAGAAAAUGUGACCAUGUUAACGUCACAAUUCGACAUUGAAUAAACAUCAAAUAAGUGUUACUCAUGUAUUAUAGAGAUAUAUUACGGUGUGGUUAUUCCGUAUAAACUAAUCAGAACAAACCAGCUUGUAAGAGUGUACAUUACGACCUACGAGAUCGAUUAGACACAAGAGUAAAUAUUGUUCUACGUAACAACAUAUAGACUUGUCGUCCAAAUCAAGACUGUCUUUUUCGUUAUCCCGUCCAUGUUGUACUUCAAUCCAAGAUGAGGGAGGCAGGGUGUUACUUUCUGCAAAAAAGUUCGAUAUAGUCAAAUAUUUUUGCAGAAUGUAAAGCCCUGUCUCCCUCAUCACAAAUUAUAUGUCACGUCCAUGUAGAAGGAACGAAUCAGAUUAACACUAACAGUUCAUAAGGAACCAACGACUAAAAAAAAAACACUUUAGAAGAACACGUAUACACUUCCCUUCGUUCGAACCUAAGUGAUUUACUACACAUGUGUGGUUCACGCGGAGUGAAAGUAUUAUCGUUCGUUGGGGUAAGACUCCAAGAAGACUAGUACCGUGAGAAUUAUUAACUUCCCCUCUCAACCACAAGUACUUUGGUCUAACGAAACGAACGAUGUCUCAUACUCGGUGGUUCUAAACAAAGGGCACUCGACCGGAGGAUGCGGGUUGGCCACCGAACUACAGUUCAUUCCGUCUAGACGUCCGCCGGUACCGCGGGACGCGACUGCAGGCACCCCGUCGUCUCCACCUCGCCUGCCACCGCGGCCUCUAGGAACGACCGUAGGUACCCCGUCGUCUCCUCUCGCCGUUCGUCGCUGUCGCCGGACGCGAGCGCAGGAACCCCGACAUCUCCUCGCCUGUCGCCGCCGAAUCAGGUCACAAGCGCAGGUAACCCGUCGUCUUCUCCUCUCUUGGCGCCCUUGCACCUAAUCACGAGCGCAGGUACCCCGUUGUCGGUCGUCUCCUCCCCGCCACCCGCCCACCGCCCCUAGGCGCAACCGUAGGCACGCCGUCGCUUCCUCCUGUCUGUUUAACACUAACACUCCCGUCUCUUUUAAUGCCCUAACUUUAGGGGAUAGGGGCGAUUAACUCCUGCUUCCCCACGCCACCCGUCAGACGAGGCCGUCUUGUAAAGUAGACCUAGCAAGUAAACACACCGUCUGGGAACUACAUUAUACCUGGCGAUCUACACUAAAUUAACCUAACUAGCUUGCGGAGAUCAUUAGGACACAUGUGAAACACCACACAGACAUCCUCUUUAGUACAAACGAGAAAAUUAUCAUCAUAUCUAAUUAUCAUCAUAUCUAUAUCUAUAUCUAUACGUGGACCCAAAGCUCUAUCGUAGUCAGUCUGUUUUGAGAUACUACGGUUCGACGUCUCACCACCAAAACUUUCCCUUUUUAUUACUACAUAAAACACGAUGGACUAUUACGGCCACGUUUCUUCUCUCGCUAGUAUAGACUCUUUAUAAAGUAGAAGGUCUUUAUACGAUACAUGAGAAGCCCCGGUACGGCAUUGGGAGGCUGCGUCAUGUAGAGGGACCCGGGAUCGACGCGAGUGCCUGCGGACUAGCGUCGGAUAGGAACCGGCGGGCGGUGUCGCGACGCCGGUGGGUAGUACGGGACGGAACGAGAGCACGUCUUAAUAGAGAAGGGUUAAGGUGAGGUGGGGAGGCGAGGUAUGAGGUGUGGAUGUGGGUCUAGAUCGUGUGGUACCGUCGUUACGGCGGCAGCGAGGGCCUGCUAGAACAGGUUCUCUAGGAGGAGGCGAAGGGCUGGCUGCUGGGGUGGAUGGAGGAGGCUAGGAGGGAGCAAACGUUCCGGAUCUCGCCGCAAUAAAGGACGGCGCUGAAAGCGGCGGCGGAGGUCCUCGAGGUGGCCCGUGGGGGGGAACGAGCCGAAGGAGGUGCAGUUCUGGUCGCUCUCGUGGGGGACGAAGUAGGGGUGGUGACGUAGCAGGAAUAGCGAGCGACGGCGUUUGAUGAUGAGCACCGACCGGGAGCUGACGGCGGUGCCAGCGCGGGAGAAGGAGAGGUCUAGAGUCCUAGUACUCCUUGAGGAGCACACCCUCGGUUAGUACCCAUGGGUUCUCGCGCAUGGCCACGGACAUCGUAAACUCAAGUCGAUGAGCCGACGCCGGCACAAUACGUGUCACCUACUCACACUGGUAGCGCUAACGGAACCCCCAGGAAAGACGCACGAAAAGCAGAAGAGGAGGUUCCUUCUACGGCUGCUCUCACAGUGCAGCCGUACGUAUAUGAGCAGUCUCUGACCACGGACCCCGCCCGACUGGUGCUACGUGCCGCUGAUGAAGUAGCAGAUACUGAUAGUCCUGUCACUCUACUAGGACCUCAUACUGAACAGUUCCGUGAAGGAUUAAUACAAAUCACAUGGUCUGUUGGUAACACUGACGUAUAUGUGAGAGUACCACUGCCUCCCGCCACCCGACCCUCAUUAGGUUCUGAACGUAGCCGUACAGUUCAACACCUGUUCUCUCCACUCACUACCGCGACUACGUGUUACCAACGAGUCGGCCCAGUAGAUGGACGUGUUAAACGAGGGUCGGUCACGAGUUCCAAUAUCUCACGCCCACUACCCGAAACGACUCCCUCGUUUACGGUAAAAACAAUCAUGCCAACAGCCGGACAAACGUUAACUAGAUGUUAGACUCGUCCGUUCCUUCCACAGACUAGUAACACCGAAAACAAAGGUAUUUAACCAAGGUCAACAGUGGAAGAUGUGAGGACGCGGGGCUCCGCUGGUGGUUUUAAACGACCACAGCUUCGGAUCACUCCUCCGUCCACCACUCCUCCACCCUCUCCCCCUCUUUUGUUAUGUAUUCCGUAUU
RNAcentral lists this ribosomal RNA (3549 nucleotides) under Triticum aestivum (bread wheat). RNAcentral's name for it is "partial small subunit ribosomal RNA". The record is from RNAcentral. Lineage: Eukaryota; Viridiplantae; Streptophyta; Magnoliopsida; Poales; Poaceae.